RNAcentral lists this unclassified non-coding RNA (279 nucleotides) under plant metagenome. RNAcentral describes it as "partial contains small subunit ribosomal RNA and internal transcribed spacer 1". The stretch from base 1 to 46 matches the Rfam family "Eukaryotic small subunit ribosomal RNA", at positions 1786 to 1831 of the family's 1831-position model. The record is from RNAcentral.
AAGUCGUAACAAGGUUUCCGUAGGUGAACCUGCGGAAGGAUCAUUACAGUAUUUCACAGGGCGCUGCUGCUGGCUCUUAACCCGAGCAUGUGCGCGCGCCCCCUUCGUCCACACAAACACCUGUGCACCUGGGGAACCCCUCCCAUUGAGAGCCGUCUCGUGUAACCCCUUUCUCCGGAGGGGGGGCCGAGGCCGAGGGGAGCCCUCGUCGUUUACACACCAUCCCCGAGUCUUUAACGCAUGUUGAAUUGGCCCCACGGGGUGGAUAAGUUAAUACAA